GACCAAAGGGAGUAACCGCCGCAGCUUCGCUGCGGCGGCCCCUAAAAAAGGGAUAGAUAAAAGAAAUGCCCUAGUCCGGCAAAGGGAUUAGGGCAUUUCAAGAAAG
This 106-nucleotide small nucleolar RNA is filed under the name Saprospira grandis str. Lewin. The record is from RNAcentral. Lineage: Bacteria; Pseudomonadati; Bacteroidota; Saprospiria; Saprospirales; Saprospiraceae.